This 298-nucleotide ribosomal RNA is filed under the name uncultured soil bacterium. RNAcentral describes it as "partial 16S ribosomal RNA". It matches the Rfam family "Bacterial small subunit ribosomal RNA", at positions 26 to 351 of the family's 1533-position model. The record is from RNAcentral.
AGAACGAACGCUGGCGGCAUGCCUAAUACAUGCAAGUCGAACGAGAUCUUCGGGUCUAGUGGCGCACGGGUGCGUAACGCGUGGGAAUCUACCCUUGGGUUCGGAAUAACAGUUGGAAACGACUGCUAAUACCGGAUGAUGACGAAAGUCCAAAGAUUUAUCGCCCAGGGAUGAGCCCGCGUAGGAUUAGCUAGUUGGUGAGGUAAAGGCUCACCAAGGCUACGAUCCUUAGCUGGUCUGAGAGGAUGAUCAGCCACACUGGGACUGAGACACGGCCCAGACUCCUACGGGAGGCCAG